This 253-nucleotide ribosomal RNA is filed under the name uncultured bacterium. RNAcentral describes it as "partial 16S ribosomal RNA". It matches the Rfam family "Bacterial small subunit ribosomal RNA", at positions 524 to 776 of the family's 1533-position model. The record is from RNAcentral.
UACAGAGGUGGCAAGCGUUGUUCGGAAUUACUGGGCGUAAAGGGCGCGUAGGCGGCCGAGCAAGUCCCGUGUGAAAUCCCCCGGCUCAACUGGGGAACUGCACGGGAUCCUGCCCGGCUCGAGUUCGGGAGAGGGAAGCGGAAUUCCGGGUGUAGCGGUGAAAUGCGCAGAUAUCCGGAGGAACACCAGCGGCGAAGGCGGCUUCCUGGACCGACACUGACGCUGAGGCGCGAAAGCUAGGGGAGCAAACGGG